AGAGUUUGAUCAUGGCUCAGAUUGAACGCUGGCGGCAGGCCUAACACAUGCAAGUCGAACGGUAACAGGAAGCAGCUUGCUGCUUCGCUGACGAGUGGCGGACGGGUGAGUAAUGUCUGGGAAGCUGCCUGAUGGAGGGGGAUAACUACUGGAAACGGUAGCUAAUACCGCAUAAUGUCGCAAGACCAAAGAGGGGGACCUUCGGGCCUCUUGCCAUCGGAUGUGCCCAGAUGGGAUUAGCUUGUUGGUGGGGUAACGGCUCACCAAGGCGACGAUCCCUAGCUGGUCUGAGAGGAUGACCAGCCACACUGGAACUGAGACACGGUCCAGACUCCUACGGGAGGCAGCAGUGGGGAAUAUUGCACAAUGGGCGCAAGCCUGAUGCAGCCAUGCCGCGUGUAUGAAGAAGGCCUUCGGGUUGUAAAGUACUUUCAGCGGGGAGGAAGGGAGUAAAGUUAAUACCUUUGCUCAUUGACGUUACCCGCAGAAGAAGCACCGGCUAACUCCGUGCCAGCAGCCGCGGUAAUACGGAGGGUGCGAGCGUUAAUCGGAAUUACUGGGCGUAAAGCGCACGCAGGCGGUUUGUUAAGUCAGAUGUGAAAUCCCCGGGCUCAACCUGGGAACUGCAUCUGAUACUGGCAAGCUUGAGUCUCGUAGAGGGGGGUAGAAUUCCAGGUGUAGCGGUGAAAUGCGUAGAGAUCUGGAGGAAUACCGGUGGCGAAGGCGGCCCCCUGGACGAAGACUGACGCUCAGGUGCGAAAGCGUGGGGAGCAAACAGGAUUAGAUACCCUGGUAGUCCACGCCGUAAACGAUGUCGACUUGGAGGUUGUGCCCUUGAGGCGUGGCUUCCGGAGCUAACGCGUUAAGUCGACCGCCUGGGGAGUACGGCCGCAAGGUUAAAACUCAAAUGAAUUGACGGGGGCCCGCACAAGCGGUGGAGCAUGUGGUUUAAUUCGGUGCAACGCGAAGAACCUUACCUGGUCUUGACAUCCACGGAAGUUUUCAGAGAUGAGAAUGUGCCUUCGGGAACCGUGAGACAGGUGCUGCAUGGCUGUCGUCAGCUCGUGUUGUGAAAUGUUGGGUUAAGUCCCGCAACGAGCGCAACCCUUAUCCUUUGUUGCCAGCGGUCCGGCCGGGAACUCAAAGGAGACUGCCAGUGAUAAACUGGAGGAAGGUGGGGAUGACGUCAAGUCAUCAUGGCCCUUACGACCAGGGCUACACACGUGCUACAAUGGCGCAUACAAAGAGAAGCGACCUCGCGAGAGCAAGCGGACCUCAUAAAGUGCGUCGUAGUCCGGAUUGGAGUCUGCAACUCGACUCCAUGAAGUCGGAAUCGCUAGUAAUCGUGGAUCAGAAUGCCACGGUGAAUACGUUCCCGGGCCUUGUACACACCGCCCGUCACACCAUGGGAGUGGGUUGCAAAAGAAGUAGGUAGCUUAACCUUCGGGAGGGCGCUUACCACUUUGUGAUUCAUGACUGGGGUGAAGUCGGAACAAGGUA
RNAcentral lists this ribosomal RNA (1500 nucleotides) under metagenome. RNAcentral describes it as "bacterial SSU rRNA". It matches the Rfam family "Bacterial small subunit ribosomal RNA". The record is from RNAcentral.